UGUUUUAAAGGAAUAGACCUAUUUCUGGUUUACAAGACCAGUAUUUUUAUUUAAAUUAUUAAAAC
Molecule: transfer RNA, 65 nt
Filed under: Eophileurus chinensis
Lineage: Eukaryota; Metazoa; Arthropoda; Insecta; Coleoptera; Scarabaeidae
Description: tRNA-Thr
Source: RNAcentral